UGGGGGUUAGUUCAGUGGUAAAACAUUUGCCUUGUGUGUGAAAAACCCUGGAUUCAAUCCAAUCCCUAG
Molecule: transfer RNA, 69 nt
Filed under: Marmota monax (woodchuck)
Lineage: Eukaryota; Metazoa; Chordata; Mammalia; Rodentia; Sciuridae
Rfam family: tRNA
About the family: Transfer RNA (tRNA) molecules are approximately 80 nucleotides in length. Their secondary structure includes four short double-helical elements and three loops (D, anti-codon, and T loops).
Source: Rfam by way of RNAcentral